CCGGCACGGGAGGUAGUGACGAAAAAUAACGAUACGGGACUCAUCCGAGGCCCCGUAAUCGGAAUGAGCACACUCUAAAAGACUUUAACGAGUAUCCAUUGGAGGGCAAGUCUGGUGCCAGCAGCCGCGGUAAUUCCAGCNUCCAAUAGCGUAUAUUAAAGUUGUUGCGGUUAAAAAGCUCGUAGCUGGACCUGUGUCCCACGCNGUCGGUUCACCUUCCCGGUGUCUAACUGGCAUGCAUGUGCGGACGUCCUGCCGGUGGAUGCAGCCGAUCGUGGGCCCUCGGGCGCGCGACGGCGGUCCUGUACAAUCCUACCGCGGUGCUCUUCACCGAGUGUCGAGGUGGGCCGGCACGUUUACUUUGAACAAAUUAGAGUGCUCAAAGCAGGCAAAGGUGCGCCUGAAUACUGUGUGCAUGGAAUAAUGGAAUAGGACCUCGGUGCUAUUUUGUUGGUUUUCGGAACUGAGGUAAUGAUUAAUAGGGACAGAUGGGGGCAUUCGUAUUGCGACGUUAGAGGUGAAAUUCUUGGAUCGUCGCAAGACGGACUAAAGCGAAAGCAUUUGCCAAAGAUGUUUUCAUUAGUCAAGAACGAAAGUUAGAGGUUCGAAGGCGAUCAGAUACCGCCCUAGUUCUAACCAUAAACGAUGCCAGCCAGCGAUCCGCCGAAGUUCCUCCGUGACUCGGCGGGCAGCUUCCGGGAAACCAAAGCUUUUGGGUUCC
RNAcentral lists this ribosomal RNA (721 nucleotides) under Damasippus sp. 0043. RNAcentral's name for it is "SSU rRNA". It matches the Rfam family "Eukaryotic small subunit ribosomal RNA", at positions 451 to 1115 of the family's 1831-position model. Lineage: Eukaryota; Metazoa; Arthropoda; Insecta; Phasmatodea; Prisopodidae. The record is from RNAcentral.